GACGAACGCUGGCGGCGCGCCUAACACAUGCAAGUCGAACGAGCGAGAGAGAGCUUGCUUUCUCGAGCGAGUGGCGAACGGGUGAGUAACGCGUGAGGAACCUGCCUCAAAGAGGGGGACAACAGUUGGAAACGACUGCUAAUACCGCAUAAGCCCACGGUGCCGCAUGGCACAGAGGGAAAAGGAGCAAUCCGCUUUGAGAUGGCCUCGCGUCCGAUUAGCUAGUUGGUGAGGUAAUGGCCCACCAAGGCGACGAUCGGUAGCCGGACUGAGAGGUUGAACGGCCACAUUGGGACUGAGACACGGCCCAGACUCCUACGGGAGGCAGCAGUGGGGAAUAUAGCACAAUGGGGGAAACCCUGAUGCAGCGACGCCGCGUGGAGGAAGAAGGUCUUCGGAUUGUAAACUCCUGUUGUUGGGGAAGAUAAUGACGGUACCCAACAAGGAAGUGACGGCUAACUACGUG
RNAcentral lists this ribosomal RNA (466 nucleotides) under uncultured bacterium. RNAcentral's name for it is "partial 16S ribosomal RNA". It matches the Rfam family "Bacterial small subunit ribosomal RNA", at positions 28 to 507 of the family's 1533-position model. The record is from RNAcentral.